Molecule: ribosomal RNA, 253 nt
Filed under: uncultured bacterium
Lineage: Bacteria
Description: partial 16S ribosomal RNA
Rfam family: Bacterial small subunit ribosomal RNA
Source: RNAcentral
UACGAAGGGGGCUAGCGUUGCUCGGAAUUACUGGGCGUAAAGCGCGCGUAGGCGGAUCGUUAAGUCGGGGGUGAAAUCCUGGAGCUCAACUCCAGAACUGCCUUUGAUACUGACAGGCUCGGGUCCGGGAGAGGUGAGUGGAACUGCGAGUGUAGAGGUGAAAUUCGUAGAUAUUCGCAAGAACACCAGUGGCGAAGGCGGCUCACUGGCCCGGUACUGACGCUGAGGUGCGAAAGCGUGGGGAGCAAACAGG